Long non-coding RNA from Oreochromis niloticus (Nile tilapia), 565 nucleotides. RefSeq lists it as uncharacterized. Lineage: Eukaryota; Metazoa; Chordata; Actinopteri; Cichliformes; Cichlidae. The transcript is spliced from 3 exons. The record is from RefSeq and is a predicted model, not a curated record.
GCACUGGGGAGCGCGUGCGUGCAUUUAUCUAUGGAGCAAUACAUGGAGAUUACCGGCCGUAAUGUUACCCACCUUCAGGCCCGCGGGGCUCUGGGGGCUGUUGGGCAGGGAACGUUAUAGAGGAUCCCCGGGGGUCUGCUGGCCUGGAAAUGACAUGGAGUGAGGGAAGAGCCCCCAUACUCCAGAAUCAGUCAUCUCAUCUGCAGGGGGAGAGGAGGAAGGACAAAGACGCAUCGCCCCACCGCAAGGCACGUACGCACACUCGUGGGAAAGGCACGCACGCACUCUCACACACACUUGCACAUGCACGGACACACUCACCAGAAUAUAAUAUUUUAUGUGUGAUUUUUAAAUAUGGCUUUAGAGAAGGAUUAUGCAGGAGAUGAUGCGGGCCGAUUAUGGUUUCAGGACAUCGGGGGCGCUUGAGCUCUCUAGAGAGGCCCAACGCAAGAGUGUAUUUUUUUUCAUACUGCAAACAGAUUUUAAAAUAGGGUGGGAAAAAAAAUUAAUUUAAUUUAACAGUAAAACAGCCUAUUCACUCAAAUAACAGGCUUAUCAUGAUGCU